CUUCUAUUUUUCCGACCGACAUAGUGAUUCUUGAAUGGAUCACUGGCUCAAGAUGAAGAAUUGAAGGGAUUCUGGCGAGCAUGGUAGCAACUCCCUCAGUCACCUGCCGGCCCGAGUCCAAAGAUCAUAUAGAAGAUCAUCAGCUGCAGUGCCAACAUCUUAUCUCCAUCUUCACACGAUUUCGGUUUUAAGCACCCCGUAGAUUCUUCAAAGAUAGCAAGUUACAGAAUGGUUCCAUUUGAUGAUUGUAAAUUGCGAGGCGUAAUGGGGAUAUCGUGUUUGAAAAAUGGAACACAAUGGAGAUUUGAGGGGUUUUUUAAUCGCCAAUUUUUGCUGCCUUUUUUCUUAAGUUUGAUAAAUUCAUUUUCUAGUGUGGAUGUUGCACAUUUUGUUGUGUAGGAAUCAUUUUAUUGGUUGAUAUUUUGAAAUUUCGAAAUGUAUUGGUGUCGACAUGGCCUUCUUCCUUGAGAUAGAAAUUACUUUUCUUGUUAUCUUGUUAUACAUAAAUGGUAAAUUGUGAGGCAUAAACACUCUAGGAAGAUAUUUGUUUUGGUUUAUUCGAGUCUUGUAAAUACUGUUGCUUGAGACUUCCUACUGAUAACGAGAAGGAUGUCGAAAUGGUUUUAUUUUUGGUGCA
Molecule: non-coding RNA, 637 nt
Organism: Erythranthe guttata (spotted monkey flower)
Lineage: Eukaryota; Viridiplantae; Streptophyta; Magnoliopsida; Lamiales; Phrymaceae
Source: RefSeq, a predicted model, not a curated record